This 486-nucleotide ribosomal RNA is filed under the name uncultured bacterium. RNAcentral's name for it is "partial 16S ribosomal RNA". It matches the Rfam family "Bacterial small subunit ribosomal RNA", at positions 30 to 507 of the family's 1533-position model. The record is from RNAcentral.
AUUGAACGCUGGCGGCAUGCCUUACACAUGCAAGUCGAACGGCAGCACGGGUGCUUGCACCUGGUGGCGAGUGGCGAACGGGUGAGUAAUACAUCGGAACAUGUCCUGUAGUGGGGGAUAGCCCGGCGAAAGCCGGAUUAAUACCGCAUACGAUCUACGGAUGAAAGCGGGGGACCUUCGGGCCUCGCGCUAUAGGGUUGGCCGAUGGCUGAUUAGCUAGUUGGUGGGGUAAAGGCCUGCCAAGGCGACGAUCAGUAGCUGGUCUGAGAGGACGACCAGCCACACUGGGACUGAGACACGGCCCAGACUCCUACGGGAGGCAGCAGUGGGGAAUUUUGGACAAUGGGCGAAAGCCUGAUCCAGCGAUGCCGCGUGUGUGAAGAAGGCCUUCGGGUUGUAAAGCACUUUUGUCCGGAAAGAAAUCCUUGGCCCUAAUACGGUCGGGGGAUGACGGUACCGGAAGAAUAAGCACCGGCUAACUACGUG